GUGCCAGCCGCCGCGGUAAUACGUAGGGACCAAGCGUUGUUCGGAUUUACUGGGCGUAAAGGGCGCGUAGGCGGCGUGUUAAGUCACUUGUGAAAUCUCUAAGCUUAACUUAGAACGGUCAAGUGAUACUGAUGUGCUAGAGUGCAGAAGGGGCAACCGGAAUUCUUGGUGUAGCGGUGAAAUGCGUAGAUAUCAAGAGGAACACCUGAGGUGAAGACGGGUUGCUGGGCUGACACUGACGCUGAGGCGCGAAAGCUAGGGUAGCAAACGGGAUUAGAUACCCCCGUAGUCC
Molecule: ribosomal RNA, 292 nt
Filed under: uncultured bacterium
Lineage: Bacteria
Description: partial 16S ribosomal RNA
Rfam family: Bacterial small subunit ribosomal RNA
Source: RNAcentral